AUGCUGAAGUCCAGCUCAAGAAUUACGGGAGAUUUCUUGAAGAAUACACCUCUCAGUUGCAGAGAAUUGAAAAUGCUCUGGAUGAUUCUAUUGGGGAUGUAUGGGACUUUAGCCUGGAUCCAGUGGCACUCAAGCUUGUGCCUUAUGAGCAAUCAUCUCUCCUUGAGCUCAUCAAGACAGAAAACAAGAUUUUGAAUAAAGUUAUAACUGUAUAUGCUGCACUGUGUUGUGAAAUUAAGAAGCUAAAAUAUGAGGCUGAAACAAAGUUUUACAAUGGAUUAUUAUUCUAUGGAGAAGGAG
This is a long non-coding RNA of Bombina bombina (fire-bellied toad), 300 nucleotides long. RefSeq lists it as uncharacterized. The record is from RefSeq and is a predicted model, not a curated record. The transcript is spliced from 4 exons. NCBI's taxonomy places the organism in Eukaryota, Metazoa, Chordata, Amphibia, Anura, Bombinatoridae.